ACUGCUCAGUAACACGUGGAUAAUCUGCCCUAAGGUCAGGCAUAACACCGGGAAACUGGUGAUAAUUCCUGAUAUACCAUAGAUACUGGAAUGUUCUGUGGUCAAAAGCUCCGGCGCCUUAGGAUGAAUCUGCGGCCUAUCAGGUUGUAGUGGGUGUAACGUACCUACUAGCCGACGACGGGUACGGGUUGUGAGAGCAAGAGCCCGGAGAUGGAUUCUGAGACAUGAAUCCAGGCCCUACGGGGCGCAGCAGGCGCGAAAACUUUACAAUGCGGGAAACCGCGAUAAGGGGACACUGAGUGCCAGCAUACAAUGUUGGCUGUCCGCAUGUAUAAAUAGCAUGUGUUAGCAAGGGCCGGGCAAGACCGGUGCCAGCCGCCGCGGUAACACCGGCGGCCCGAGUGGUGGCCACUAUUAUUGGGUCUAAAGGGUCCGUAGCCGGUUUGAUCAGUCUUCCGGGAAAUCUGACAGCUCAACUGUUAGGCUUCCGGGGGAUACUGUCAGACUUGGGACCGGGAGAGGUAAGAGGUACUACAGGGGUAGGAGUGAAAUCUUGUAAUCCUUGUGGGACCACCAGUGGCGAAGGCGUCUUACCAGAACGGGUCCGACGGUGAGGGACGAAAGCUGGGGGCACGAACCGGAUUAGAUACCCGGGUAGUCCCAGCCGUAAACGAUGCUCGCUAGGUGUCUGGGAUGGUGCGACCGUUUCAGGUGCCGCAGGGAAGCCGUGAAGCGAGCCACCUGGGAAAUACGGCCGCAAGGCUGAAACUUAAAGGAAUUGGCGGGGGAG
RNAcentral lists this ribosomal RNA (790 nucleotides) under uncultured Methanolobus sp. Its description in RNAcentral is "bacterial SSU rRNA". It matches the Rfam family "Archaeal small subunit ribosomal RNA", at positions 85 to 876 of the family's 1478-position model. Lineage: Archaea; Methanobacteriati; Methanobacteriota; Methanomicrobia; Methanosarcinales; Methanosarcinaceae. The record is from RNAcentral.